AUUGAACGCUGGCGGCAGGCCUAACACAUGCAAGUCGAACGGUAACAGGAAGCAGCUUGCUGCUUUGCUGACGAGUGGCGGACGGGUGAGUAAUGUCUGGGAAACAGCCCGAUGGAGGGGGAUAACUACUGGAAACGGUAGCUAAUACCGCAUAACGUCGCAAGACCAAAGAGGGGGACCUUAGGGCCUCUUGCCAUCGGAUGUGCCCAGAUGGGAUUAGCUAGUAGGUGGGGUAACGGCUCACCUAGGCGACGAUCCCUAGCUGGUCUGAGAGGAUGACCAGCCACACUGGAACUGAGACACGGUCCAGACUCCUACGGGAGGCAGCAGUGGGGAAUAUUGCACAAUGGGCGCAAGCCUGAUGCGGCCAUGCCGCGUGUAUGAAGAAGGCCUUCGGGUUGUAAAGUACUUUCAGCGGGGAGGAAGGGAGUAAAGUUAAUACCUUUGCUCAUUGACGUUACCCGCAGAAGAAGCACCGGCUAACUCCGUG
This 490-nucleotide ribosomal RNA is filed under the name uncultured bacterium. Its description in RNAcentral is "partial 16S ribosomal RNA". It matches the Rfam family "Bacterial small subunit ribosomal RNA", at positions 30 to 507 of the family's 1533-position model. The record is from RNAcentral.